UGAGGAAUAUUGGUCAAUGAGCGCAAGCCUGAACCAGCCAUCCCGCGUGCAGGAAGACGGCCCUAUGGGUUGUAAACUGCUUUUCCAGGGAGAGAAACCUGCGCACGUGUUGCGCAAUUGACGGUACCCUGGGAAUAAGCAUCGGCUAACUCCGUGCCAGCAGCCGCGGUAAUACGGAGGAUGCAAGCGUUAUCCGGAUUCAUCGGGUUUAAAGGGUGCGCAGGCGGACUAUUAAGUCAGUGGUGAAAGCCUGCAGCUUAACUGCAGAACUGCCAUUGAUACUGAUAGUCUUGAGUUUGGUUAAGGUAGGCGGAAUGUGUAAUGUAGCGGUGAAAUGCUUAGAUAUUACACAGAACACCAAUUGCGUAGGCAGCUUACUGAGCCGACACUGACGCUGAGGCACGAAAGCGUGGGGAUCGAACAG
This 424-nucleotide ribosomal RNA is filed under the name uncultured bacterium. RNAcentral describes it as "bacterial SSU rRNA". It matches the Rfam family "Bacterial small subunit ribosomal RNA", at positions 355 to 775 of the family's 1533-position model. The record is from RNAcentral.